AUAUUUUAAGACCUAAGUCUUCUUAAUAUCUUCAAUAUUAUACUUUUAAAUAAGCUAUUAAAAUA
This 65-nucleotide transfer RNA is filed under the name Cautires sp. UPOL 000411. RNAcentral's name for it is "tRNA-Phe". Lineage: Eukaryota; Metazoa; Arthropoda; Insecta; Coleoptera; Lycidae. The record is from RNAcentral.